This 440-nucleotide ribosomal RNA is filed under the name uncultured bacterium. RNAcentral's name for it is "partial 16S ribosomal RNA". It matches the Rfam family "Bacterial small subunit ribosomal RNA", at positions 338 to 795 of the family's 1533-position model. The record is from RNAcentral.
CCUACGGGGGGCAGCAGUGGGGGAUAUUGCACAAUGGGGGAAACCCUGAUGCAGCGACGCCGCGUGUGGGAAGACGGUCUUCUGGAUUGUAAACCACUGUCCCCAGGGACGAAAAUGACGGUACCUGGGGAGGAAGCUCCGGCUAACCACGUGCCAGCAGCCGCGGUAAUACGGAGGGAGCAAGCGUUGUCCGGAAUUACUGGGUGAAAAGGGAGCGUAGGCGGGGAUGCAAGUUGGGUGUCAAAACUACCGGCUCAACCCAUAGUCGCACUCAAAACUACAACUCUUGAGUGAAGUAGAGGCAGGCGGAAUUCCUAGUGUAGCGGUGAAAUGCGUAGAUAUUAGGAGGAACACCAGUGGCGAAGGCGGCCUGCUGGGCUUUUACUGACGCUGAGGCUCGAAAGUGUGGGGAGCAAACAGGAUUAGAUACCCGAGUAGUC